UGCGUAUUGUUAUCAGUGCGGCGGUGUA
This 28-nucleotide small RNA is filed under the name Bombyx mori (domestic silkworm). RNAcentral's name for it is "ovarian small RNA-34004". The record is from RNAcentral. Lineage: Eukaryota; Metazoa; Arthropoda; Insecta; Lepidoptera; Bombycidae.